UUUUUCUUCGGAAAUUCAAAAUGACUUGAGGGUAGAAACUGAUGGACCAGGAAACGAAAGCUGUCCAUCCAAAUACUUGAUAUACGAUUUCCAGCGAAGUCGAAUUCCAGGAGGCCAUUGUGAUUCCCUUGGAACUCCCUCGGAAUUGACUCCCUGGGAGUUGGAUUUUGGAUAUUUUUGUGUCGUCGGUGACUCGGUGAGCGAGGUCAAGGUGCCGAGUGGUUGGAUUGGUCAAUCUUCCCACGUGAAUGAUUCGCCCGAAUUUUAUGUUUUGGGACACGGAAUCUGCAAAACUGGUAUGGAAAUGGGGGUUGCUUAUUCCAAGGUUUGAUUGGAUAUGUGGAUCAUCUGACGAUGUUG
This 360-nucleotide long non-coding RNA is filed under the name Vitis vinifera (wine grape). RNAcentral's name for it is "long non-coding RNA (VVIN_LNC004833)". Lineage: Eukaryota; Viridiplantae; Streptophyta; Magnoliopsida; Vitales; Vitaceae. The record is from RNAcentral.